GUAGGUGGCAAGCGUUGUCCGGAAUUAUUGGGCGUAAAGCGCGCGCAGGCGGUUCUUUAAGUCUGAUGUGAAAGCCCACGGCUCAACCGUGGAGGGUCAUUGGAAACUGGAGAACUUGAGUACAGAAGAGGAAAGCGGAAUUCCACGUGUAGCGGUGAAAUGCGUAGAGAUGUGGAGGAACACCAGUGGCGAAGGCGGCGUUCUGGUCUGUAACUGACGCUGAGGCGCGAAAGCGUGGGGAGCAAACAGGAUUAGAUACCCUGGUAGUCCACGCCGUAAACGAUGAGUGCUAAGUGUUAGGGGGUUUUCCGCCCCCCUUAGUGCUGCAGCUAACGCAUUAAGCACUCCGCCUGGGAGUACGGCCGCAAGGCUG
This 373-nucleotide ribosomal RNA is filed under the name uncultured organism. RNAcentral's name for it is "partial 16S ribosomal RNA". It matches the Rfam family "Bacterial small subunit ribosomal RNA", at positions 527 to 896 of the family's 1533-position model. The record is from RNAcentral.